UCGUAUGCACCUGAAAUAGACCUAGGAUC
RNAcentral lists this small RNA (29 nucleotides) under Bombyx mori (domestic silkworm). Its description in RNAcentral is "ovarian small RNA-29194". The record is from RNAcentral. Lineage: Eukaryota; Metazoa; Arthropoda; Insecta; Lepidoptera; Bombycidae.